CUACGGGGCGCUCCAGUGGGGAAUAUUGCACAAUGGGGGAAACCCUGAUGCAGCAACGCCGCGUGGAGGAUGACGCAUUUCGGUGUGUAAACUCCUUUUAUAUAGGAAGAUAAUGACGGUACUAUAUGAAUAAGCACCGGCUAACUCCGUGCCAGCAGCCGCGGUAAUACGGAGGGUGCAAGCGUUACUCGGAAUCACUGGGCGUAAAGCGCGCGCAGGCGGCCUUUUAAGUUGGAUGUGAAAGCCUAUGGCUUAACCAUAGAACUGCAUCCAAAACUAUCAGGCUAGAGUCUGGGAGGGGAAGAUGGAAUUAGUUGUGUAGGGGUAAAAUCCGUAGAGAUAACUAGGAAUACCAAAAGCGAAGGCGAUCUUCUGGAACAGUACUGACGCCGAGGCGCGAAAGCGUAGGGAGCAAACAGGAUUAGAUACCCCGGUAGUC
This 439-nucleotide ribosomal RNA is filed under the name uncultured bacterium. RNAcentral's name for it is "partial 16S ribosomal RNA". It matches the Rfam family "Bacterial small subunit ribosomal RNA", at positions 339 to 795 of the family's 1533-position model. The record is from RNAcentral.